This 443-nucleotide ribosomal RNA is filed under the name uncultured bacterium. RNAcentral's name for it is "bacterial SSU rRNA". It matches the Rfam family "Bacterial small subunit ribosomal RNA", at positions 335 to 793 of the family's 1533-position model. The record is from RNAcentral.
ACUCCUACGGGAGGCAGCAGUGGGGAAUAUUGCGCAAUGGGCGAAAGCCUGACGCAGCGACGCCGCGUGUGGGAUGACGGCCUUCGGGUUGUAAACCACUGUCGGGAGGGACGAAGAUCUGACGGUACCUCCAAAGGAAGCACCGGCUAACUCUGUGCCAGCAGCCGCGGUAAUACAGAGGGUGCGAGCGUUGUCCGGAAUCACUGGGCGUAAAGGGCGCGUAGGCGGCCUGAUAAGUAGGGGGUGAAAUUUUGCGGCUCAACCGCGAAGCUGCCUUCUAAACUGUCAGGCUGGAGCACAGUAGAGGCAGGUGGAAUUCCCGGUGUAGCGGUGGAAUGCGUAGAGAUCGGGAAGAACAUCGGUGGCGAAGGCGGCCUGCUGGGCUGUUGCUGACGCUGAGGCGCGAAAGCGUGGGGAGCAAACAGGAUUAGAUACCCUGGUAG